This 540-nucleotide ribosomal RNA is filed under the name Paenibacillus sp. MCRI 337. RNAcentral's name for it is "bacterial SSU rRNA". It matches the Rfam family "Bacterial small subunit ribosomal RNA", at positions 1 to 522 of the family's 1533-position model. Lineage: Bacteria; Bacillati; Bacillota; Bacilli; Caryophanales; Paenibacillaceae. The record is from RNAcentral.
UGGAGAGUUUGAUCCUGGCUCAGGACGAACGCUGGCGGCGUGCCUAAUACAUGCAAGUCGAGCGGAGUUCAUUUGAAAGCUUGCUUUCAAAUGAACUYAGCGGCGGACGGGUGAGUAACACGUAGGCAACCUGCCCCUUAGCCUGGGAUAACUACCGGAAACGGUAGCUAAUACCGGAUAAUUCCUWUYYUCUCCUGAGGAGAGGAUGAAAGGCGGAGCAAUCUGUCGCUAAGGGAUGGGCCUGCGGCGCAUUAGCUAGUUGGUGAGGUAACGGCUCACCAAGGCGACGAUGCGUAGCCGACCUGAGAGGGUGAACGGCCACACUGGGACUGAGACACGGCCCAGACUCCUACGGGAGGCAGCAGUAGGGAAUCUUCCGCAAUGGGCGAAAGCCUGACGGAGCAACGCCGCGUGAGUGAUGAAGGUUUUCGGAUCGUAAAGCUCUGUUGCCAGGGAAGAACGUCUUGUAGAGUAACUGCUAYRAGAGUGACGGUACCUGAGAAGAAAGCCCCGGCUAACUACGUGCCAGCAGCCGCGGUA